RNAcentral lists this ribosomal RNA (274 nucleotides) under uncultured bacterium. RNAcentral's name for it is "partial 16S ribosomal RNA". It matches the Rfam family "Bacterial small subunit ribosomal RNA", at positions 523 to 796 of the family's 1533-position model. The record is from RNAcentral.
AGACGGAGGGGGCUAGCGUUGUUCGGAAUUACUGGGCGUAAAGCGCACGUAGGUGGAUUGGUCAGUUGAGGGUGAAAUCCCAGGGCUCAACCCUGGAACUGCCUUCAAUACUGUCAGUCUUGAGAUUGGAAGAGGUGAGUGGAAUUCCUAGUGUAGAGGUGAAAUUCAUAGAUAUUCGGAGGAACACCAGUGGCGAAGGCGGCUCACUGGUCCAAUACUGACGCUGAGGUACGAAAGCGUGGGGAGCAAACAGGAUUAGAUACCCUAGUAGUCC